RNAcentral lists this ribosomal RNA (274 nucleotides) under uncultured bacterium. RNAcentral describes it as "partial 16S ribosomal RNA". It matches the Rfam family "Bacterial small subunit ribosomal RNA", at positions 523 to 796 of the family's 1533-position model. The record is from RNAcentral.
ACACGGAGGGCGCAAGCGUUGCUCGGAAUCACUGGGCGUAAAGCGGGUGUAGGCGGUCUAGCAAGUCAGAUGUAAAAGCCCACGGCUCAACCGUGGAAGUGCAUCUGAAACUGCUAGACUUGAGUGCCGGAGAGGGAAGUGGAAUUCCUGGUGUAGGGGUGAAAUCCGUAGAUAUCAGGAGGAACACCGGUGGCGAAGGCGACUUCCUGGACGGCCACUGACGCUGAGACCCGAAAGCGUGGGGAGCAAACAGGAUUAGAAACCCUAGUAGUCC